UUCGGGGACUCACGAAGGCUAUUUGGGAAGAUCUCGGUGAUAGAUUCGGACAAUCAAACAGAGCAAAAUUGUAUCAUCUUCAAAAGGAAUUUUCAGACCUAACUCUGGGAUCUGAUGAUCUGCCCACCUAUUUCACCAAAUUGAAGAAACAAUGGGCCGAAUUAAACGCCCUAUCCUUGAUUCCAAGUUGUACUUAUGGUGCUGCACACGCAAUUCAAGAAAGUCAGCAAAAUCAAAGGUUGAUUAAGUUUCUCAUGGGAUUGAAUGUCGAUUAUGGAUCAACCAGAGGAAGGUUCUGAUGGAACCUCAUCCUUCUGUUGCUCAAGCUUAUGCUCUUCUGAUUCAGGAUGAAAAACAACGAGUAGUACACUCUUGAUCUCACUUCUUAUCAUAAUUCGCAUUAAUGACUGCCAAAUCUGGAGUUAAUCAUUACAAGAACAAAAGAGGGAAAAGUAAUUCUUUGAUUAUGAAAAAGUUAAGUUACAGUAUAGAAAAAAGAGAAUUUAUAUACAAAGGGUAAGAAGGGUAAAAGGAGAAAAUUAACUAAACCAACUCUAUCAACCACCAUUAAGAUUGCGCAUGAAUACGCCAACAAAACUUAAACUGGAAACUAGAAGUCGCCAGAGGAAAACCAUGUUCGCUGGAGAAUAUGAGGGUUACUGGAAGAACAUCGACGCCGCCUCUUACUGAAAAAACCAGGUUCCCGGAUCUUCAGCUCUCUCUCUCUCUCUCUCUCUCUCUCUCUCUCUCCUCCUCUCUCUCUCUCUCUCUCUCUCUCUCUCUCUCUCUCUCUCUCUCUCUCUCCUCUCUCGAUGGAUGGGCUAAAUUAGGGCCGGUCCAGACGGUAGACAACCCGGGCGACCGCCGAGGACCCACAACUCCAUGGAGCCCAAAAUUUAUGGGAUAUAUAUAUAUAUAUAUAUAUAUAUAUAUAUAUAUAUAUAUAUAUAUAUAUAUAUAUAUAUAUAUAUAUAUAUAUAUAUAUAUAUAUAUAUAUAUAUAUAUUAUUACCUAAAUGAUUUUUAGAACUUAAAGUUGGUUGAAACUCAAUUUAGCUCAAAAUAUAAACAAUUUAGUUUGCUUUUUAUUUCUAAUUGAAAACGUCUAUAUCGAAGAGUAAUGAUAUUUUUUUUGAAUCUAUUAUAUUUAUAUUUGAGGACCUUUUUUCUCUUUUCUCCCCGGGUCCCAUAUAUGUUUGGACCGACCCUGGGCUAAACCAGGGUAUAAUGGCCAUCUACAAAUUUAGGUUUCUUGUUUAUUCGAGUUUCAAAUCAAAUUGUUGAACGAGGACACAAAAAUACGAGGGAAAAUAAUUCAAUCUUACUUUCCCCUCUGUAAAGAAAAAUCAUCAUCAGAAACCAACUACCGCCUCCGACAUGCCAUACUUCCACCUCCAUUCUAUGAUCUACAUAUUAAAAGCUCAAUAAGGAGACCCAGGCGACAAAGAGUGAUGUUCAAAGUAGAUUUUGAAUCCAGAAGCCUUAUAUUUUCUUGGUUUAUGUUUGAAUUUGCUCAAAGAAAAAGAAAUUUCAUUGGGUUACACUUGAAUUUGCUUAAUUUUUGGUGGUUUUAGUUCAUUGGGGCUUUUCUGGGUUGUAGUGUUGAUUUAAAAGUGUGUUUGCCAAUAAGGUUAAAAACCCUGUCUUAUAAGUCAUAUUUAGGUCUUAUUGAUGUUGCAUGUUUAUUGACUGAGUUUUUCCGAUCAUAUUAGUGGUUUGGGGAAGAAUAGAUAUGUGGGUUUAAGGGAAGAGUGUGUGGUGCUGGUUGUAACACUUGUAUGAAAGACCCCAGGGGUAUCUCGUGACAUUUAUAUGAAAAACCAUGGGGUAGCUCAUAACACUUGUAUGAAAGACCAUGGGGGUAGCCCAUGAUGCUUGUAUAUAAGGCCAUAUGGGGUAGCUAAGAUAAUGCGAGGAAAAACCAUGGGGGUAGUCUAUGGCAAUGGUAUGAAAGACCAAAGGGGUAGCCCAUAACGCUUGUAUGCAAGACCAUGAAGGUACUUCCAGUUCCAAAGGAAAAAACGUACUUUUUUUUGUUAGGACACAAUUGUCCAAAGUUUCAUUCAGCCCAUAAAGACAUGGUUUUGGGGCUUUGUGACAUCUUACCGGGAAAUACCCAUUUUUCUUCAAAUCAAACAGUCUUUUUAGCCAAUUCAACCAGAAAGAUAUGUUUGGACCUGGAAAGAUGUAUAUCAAACGAGACCUUAGUCUUUUAUCUUGUUUAGGAACCAAAACCGAAACAAAUUUCAAUCAUAGGGAUCGUCCGAGUUAAAAAAAAAAGUAUUAGGGACCAAGCACGCAGAUUACCCCAAACCAUAGGGACAAUUGAUUUAAUUUACCCCAAAAAUUAUUAUAUUUUGCUAAUUUUUACGGUUUAAUCGUAAUAUUUUACAUAAGUUAAUUAUGACCCUUAUUUCAAGUUUAGCGGGGGUUAAGAAUGGUAUGACUUCUUAUUUAUUUACAUGGCAUCAUAUUUAUAUCCUAAAAUAACAUCUAACUUUCUAAAAUGACUUUUAGUUAUCUACAUGGUAUGUGUAUAAUUUACUAAAACAACAAAUAAGAAAGCAUUUUUAGGAAGUUAGAUGUUAUUUAAUGAAGUACAUAUGAUGUUAUGUAGGUAAAUGAGAAAAGAGAAAUCAAAUAUCUUCCUACCUUUUGUUUAUAAUCUAUCUUUCUACUCAUUAGAUCAAUGACAAGUAUCAAAAUUAAGAGAGGAGGUUAAAAGAAAGAAUUAAUGAAUUUCACAUGUUAUUAUUUUAUAUGAGUAGAAAGAUAAGUACGAACAAAAGAUAGAAGGAUAUUUAUUUUUUCACCAUGUCAAUUUCAACACAUGUUAAACCCAAACUAGAAAUAUGAAAUCA
Long non-coding RNA from Lactuca sativa (garden lettuce), 2860 nucleotides. RefSeq lists it as uncharacterized. NCBI's taxonomy places the organism in Eukaryota, Viridiplantae, Streptophyta, Magnoliopsida, Asterales, Asteraceae. The record is from RefSeq and is a predicted model, not a curated record.